UCCGGCCGAAAGUUCCCUCAAGAUAGCAAAAGCUCGUUACAAACAGUUUUGUGAGGUAAAGCGACUGAUUGAAUGCCAUGGAGCAAAAUAGCCUAAGCGUAUUCUCGAGCUUUAAACAUGUGAGAAGCCUCACUUAUUUAGUUGUAGGCAAAAAUGUAGAGCGUUUAGUGGGUCUUUUUGGCAAGCAGAACUAAAGAUGCGGGAUGAACCUGACGUGUAGUUAAAAUGCCAGAAUACACACUUAUCAGACACUAUAAAAGGUGUUAGGUUAUCUGGACAGCCUGACGGCGCCCAUAGAAGUCGGAAACAGCUAAUGAGUGUGUAUCAAUUCACAAGCCGAAUGAGCUAGAUCUGAAAAUGGAUGGCGCUUAAGAAAUGUUACUUAUACUUUGCCCAAACAAUUUUGUGUUGUUUAGAGAAGGCAGGCGCGGAUGUAGCGACGAAGCCUUAGAAUCUGGGUCAAGCUUCGUCUAGUG
Molecule: non-coding RNA, 476 nt
Filed under: Metschnikowia bicuspidata var. bicuspidata NRRL YB-4993
Lineage: Eukaryota; Fungi; Ascomycota; Pichiomycetes; Serinales; Metschnikowiaceae
Description: Eukaryotic large subunit ribosomal RNA
Rfam family: Eukaryotic large subunit ribosomal RNA
Source: Rfam by way of RNAcentral